Molecule: transfer RNA, 69 nt
Filed under: Ovis aries (sheep)
Lineage: Eukaryota; Metazoa; Chordata; Mammalia; Artiodactyla; Bovidae
Rfam family: tRNA
About the family: Transfer RNA (tRNA) molecules are approximately 80 nucleotides in length. Their secondary structure includes four short double-helical elements and three loops (D, anti-codon, and T loops). Further hydrogen bonds mediate the characteristic L-shaped molecular structure. tRNAs have two regions of fundamental functional importance: the anti-codon, which is responsible for specific mRNA codon recognition, and the 3' end, to which the tRNAs corresponding amino acid is attached (by aminoacyl-tRNA synthetases). tRNAs cope with the degeneracy of the genetic code in two manners: having more than one tRNA (with a specific anti-codon) for a particular amino acid; and 'wobble' base-pairing, i.e. permitting non-standard base-pairing at the 3rd anti-codon position.
Source: Rfam by way of RNAcentral
CCUGAUGGCUCAGAUGGUAAAGUAUCUGCCUACAGUGCGGGAGACCCAGGUUCAAUCCCUGGGUCAGGA